CCUACGGGGAGCAGCAGUGAGGAAUAUUGGUCAAUGGGCGCGAGCCUGAACCAGCCAAGUAGCGUGAAGGAUGACUGCCCUACGGGUUGUAAACUUCUUUUAUAAAGGAAUAAAGUGAGGCACGUGUGCCUUUUUGUAUGUACUUUAUGAAUAAGGAUCGGCUAACUCCGUGCAAGCAGCCGCGGUAAUACGGAGGAUCCGAGCGUUAUCCGGAUUUAUUGGGGUUAAAGGGAGCGUAGAUGGGUUGUUAAGUCAGUUGUGAAAGUUUGCGGCUCAACCGUAAAAUUGCAGUUGAUACUGGCAGCCUUGAGUACAGGUGAGGUAGGCGGAAUUCGUGGUGUAGCGGUGAAAUGCUUAGAUAUCACGCAGAACUCCGAUUGCGAAGGCAGCUUACUAAACUGCCACUGACAUUGAGGCUCGAAAGUGUGGGUAUCAAACAGGAUUAGAUACCCCAGUAGUC
This 460-nucleotide ribosomal RNA is filed under the name uncultured bacterium. Its description in RNAcentral is "partial 16S ribosomal RNA". It matches the Rfam family "Bacterial small subunit ribosomal RNA", at positions 338 to 795 of the family's 1533-position model. The record is from RNAcentral.